This 584-nucleotide ribosomal RNA is filed under the name Cryptococcus sp. M39. Its description in RNAcentral is "eukaryotic LSU rRNA". It matches the Rfam family "Eukaryotic large subunit ribosomal RNA", at positions 47 to 620 of the family's 3401-position model. Lineage: Eukaryota; Fungi; Basidiomycota; Tremellomycetes; Tremellales; Cryptococcaceae. The record is from RNAcentral.
UAAGCGGAGGAAAAGAAACUAACAAGGAUUCCCCUAGUAACGGCGAGUGAAGCGGGAAGAGCUCAAAUUUGAAAUCUGGUAGCCUUCGGCUGCCCGAGUUGUAAUCUAGAGAAGUGUUUUCCGUGCCGGCCCAUGUACAAGUCCCUUGGAACAGGGCGUCAUAGAGGGUGAGAAUCCCGUCCUUGACAUGGACCCCCGGUGCUUUGUGAUACACUUUCAACGAGUCGAGUUGUUUGGGAAUGCAGCUCAAAAUGGGUGGUGAAUUCCAUCUAAAGCUAAAUAUUGGCGAGAGACCGAUAGCGAACAAGUACCGUGAGGGAAAGAUGAAAAGCACUUUGGAAAGAGAGUUAAACAGUACGUGAAAUUGUUGAAAGGGAAACGAUUGAAGUCAGUCAUGCUCUUUGGAUUCAGCCGUUCUGCGGUGUAUUUCCAUUGAGUGGGGUCAACAUCAGUUUUGACCGCUGGAUAAAGGCACUAGGAAGGUAGCACUCUCGGGUGAACUUAUAGCCUAGCGUCAUAUACAGUGGUUGGGACUGAGGAACGCAGCAUGCCUUUAUGGCCGGGAUUCGUCCACGUACAUGCUA